This 382-nucleotide ribosomal RNA is filed under the name uncultured eukaryote. RNAcentral's name for it is "partial 18S ribosomal RNA". It matches the Rfam family "Eukaryotic small subunit ribosomal RNA", at positions 592 to 976 of the family's 1831-position model. The record is from RNAcentral.
UGUAAGCGUAUACCAAAGUUGUUGCAGUUAAAACGCUCGUAGUCGGAAUUUGGCAGUUCCGGAUGUGUGCACGUCGUGUGCGCACUUCGCGGGGAUUGCUUUUGUGGUCUUGCGUAGGAUGAGGCACUUUUAUUAGUGAUCGUCCUCACGCAACCACUUUUUACUGUGAGAAAAUCAGAGUGCUCAAAGCAGGCAUUUGCCGUGAAUGUAUUAGCAUGGAAUAAUAGAAUAGGACUUGGUUCUAUUUUGUUGGUUUGUUGGGACUGAGUAAUGAUUAAGAGGGACAGUUGGGGGCAUUUGUAUUUCGGUGCUAGAGGUGAAAUUCUUAGAUUACCGAAAGACAAACUGCUGCGAAAGCGUCUGCCAAGGAUGUUUUCAUUGA